This is a long non-coding RNA of Bombus huntii, 1977 nucleotides long. RefSeq lists it as uncharacterized. The transcript is spliced from 3 exons. The record is from RefSeq and is a predicted model, not a curated record. Lineage: Eukaryota; Metazoa; Arthropoda; Insecta; Hymenoptera; Apidae.
CCACGACCGCUCGCGUAGCUUCUCGACGGGCUACGAUCGACAGUGGGCAACUCGCCUACGCGACGACCGCUUCGGGGCGAACGAGUACCGCCUCCUGGCCCGACCACUCCGCUUCCGCUCGAGUUUCUGCUAUGCAAAUUUUGAAUGGAAAUACGUCAACGUGGUGCCUAGUUUGCGUGACACGUUCCUGAAUGCACGUUCCACUUCGCAACCCCUCGUCUCACCCCUCUGGCGUCCGUCGACCCGGCGUACGACAUCGCAAUCAAUGAAGCUACGAUUCACCGAGCAGUGCCGUGCGACCAACUGGCUCCUAAAGUUCCAAUUUCACGAAACCAGACGUGUCAUCAAUUUUCCCCGUAACAGUUGGUAAUAUCGUACGAAAUACAGAAAAGAACGAGCCACAAAUUUACAUUGGAAUUUUAAAGGUACAAGUUGCAAGCAUUGUUGCGAAUUUGUAUCGAUUCACGCGGAAUUGGGAAAUUGUGUUAUCCUCGGCCGAAGAAUUUAGAGCAGAAAGACGUGUCUUCGUUGGGAAAAGUUGGGAAUCGUUGCCGUCGCUCGUGGAAGGUGAAGGAAAUGCGCAAGCCCGUGUUUUACGAUCGGGCCAGCGGCUUCUUUGACAACACAGACGCCGGGGGAAAGUCUUCCCCGUUUUUCAUUCCUCCGCGUUUCAUCCUAAUCUCCAAGGGGUGAAACUCGUCACCUUCGAAUUCGCAUUUUCCUCUGACUAACUCGUGUUUACCCGAUGACUCAACUUUUCAAAAGAUCCGUCGUGUAACAGAAAUCUAGAGAAUCCCUCGUGAAAUAUUGUUGCCCGUUGUUUGAUAUCAGGGAUCAGUUGACGUCACUGGAAAAAUCACUUUCAUAAAAUACUACCAAUUCGUUAUUUUUGAGAACCCGAAUUGUAUCCGUGAAGUAUCUCGAAGAAUAAAAUGCUUGUUUCCCCUGUGCAUUAUUUAUUUCUUCAUAAACCUUUCAUUUUGUUUCGUUUCGUACAAGUUUUAUAUUUCUAUUGCUGGCAAUUCUAGCGUUAAUAUCAAUAGGAAGAAAGUGAAAUAAAUCUAUCAAGAAAUAAUUUUAUCUCUAUUUACGUUUACGCGAAAAAGAGUAAAAAACGGGAAAUAACAUGUGUCACGUCAUUCGACAAUAAUCACGAUGAUCUAUCGGCAUCCGCUAUCGCAAAGUCCGAGCGAUCGUCGACCUUUGCACUUCGAUGCCUCGCCGUUUCGAUAUUGACCGACGAUAUCGUGAGCGGAUCACGCUUGGCUGAACUUCAUUCUCCAAUUAAUUUAGACACGAUAGGCGACGUCUCCCAUUCAGAGAGGCCGUAUUCAUAAUACGGUACCAACAUUUGCAUGCUUCCGACGCUACUUCAUUCGACAGCGUAACAUUUCCUUUUAAUUUUGAUUCAACCGUGACAAAAUAAUGUUGCAGUCGUGAAUCAAUCAAACUGUCGGAUAAACGCUUGAUUUUAACAAGAUAUCGUAUGUUUUUGUCGUCGGCACAUUAUCGAUGAAAUUGAAAGUCAUUGAUAUCAAAAGAUAUUACAUAAUUAUGAAGAGACUUAUUUUGAAAAGAACGAUGCGAAGAGAUUGAUAUGAUUAAGAUGCGAUAUCUUCUAUAAAAGUUUCGCAAUUCGAUUGCAAAUUUUCGCACAGACAUAUAUGCUCGUUAUCAUAUUGCUAUACAUCCAGCCUAUACUAAUUACUAGAAUUUGUUGCACUCAUUUUAAAAGAGGAACGUUGCAAGUGUGAGGUUUCCUUUCAUUUCAUUAGCAAGAUUAUCCAUAACCAUCUCGAAGAAUAGGUACCUUAGUCUAGGAACUCUAGUCAGGGUUUUGAACUCUACACCACUUCCACAUCUUUAAAAAGACUGCCGCUCUUGACCAAAAGAAAAGAGUUUCUCCCGAUGACUUUCCAGAAUGUUUGCAGAGAUGUUCCUCUAACCGGUCUCAUAUGCUGCACGCAGCGUUGAACG